GCGCCCAUAGCUCAGCCCGGAUAGAGCACAGGCCUCCGGAGCCUGGUGUCGGGGGUUCAAAUCCCUCUGGGCGCGCCA
Molecule: transfer RNA, 78 nt
Filed under: Acidobacteriota bacterium
Lineage: Bacteria; Pseudomonadati; Acidobacteriota
Description: Acidobacteria bacterium tRNA-Arg
Rfam family: tRNA
About the family: Transfer RNA (tRNA) molecules are approximately 80 nucleotides in length. Their secondary structure includes four short double-helical elements and three loops (D, anti-codon, and T loops).
Source: RNAcentral